Long non-coding RNA from Amphimedon queenslandica, 259 nucleotides. RefSeq lists it as uncharacterized. The record is from RefSeq and is a predicted model, not a curated record. The transcript has 4 exons. NCBI's taxonomy places the organism in Eukaryota, Metazoa, Porifera, Demospongiae, Haplosclerida, Niphatidae.
AUAAUUCCUAUCUGUACAUGUUGCUUCAGUUUGUCCCUGGAGGAGAAAUGUUCUCUCAUUUGAGGAGAAUACGUUGUUUUAGUGAGUCUCAUUCAAGGUUCUAUGCUUCACUGUACCUCCACUACUUAGACAUUGUCUAUUGAGAUUUGAUCCUGAAAAUCUUCUCAUUGAUCAGCAUGGCUAUGUUAAAGUAACUGACUUUGGACUUGGACCCUUUGUGGUACUCCUGAGUAUUUGGCUCCUGAGAUCAUCCUCUCCA